RNAcentral lists this ribosomal RNA (492 nucleotides) under uncultured bacterium. RNAcentral describes it as "partial 16S ribosomal RNA". It matches the Rfam family "Bacterial small subunit ribosomal RNA", at positions 29 to 507 of the family's 1533-position model. The record is from RNAcentral.
AGUGAACGCUGGCGGUAGGCCUAACACAUGCAAGUCGAACGGCAGCACAGUAAGAGCUUGCUCUUACGGGUGGCGAGUGGCGGACGGGUGAGGAAUACAUCGGAAUCUACUUUUUCGUGGGGGAGAACGUAGGGAAACUUACGCUAAUACCGCAUACGACCUACGGGUGAAAGCAGGGGAUCUUCGGACCUUGCGCGAUUGAAUGAGCCGAUGUCGGAUUAGCUAGUUGGCGGGGUAAAGGCCCACCAAGGCGACGAUCCGUAGCUGGUCUGAGAGGAUGAUCAGCCACACUGGAACUGAGACACGGUCCAGACUCCUACGGGAGGCAGCAGUGGGGAAUAUUGGACAAUGGGCGAAAGCCUGAUCCAGCCAUACCGCGUGGGUGAAGAAGGCCUUCGGGUUGUAAAGCACUUUUGUUGGGAAAGAAAAGCAGCAGGUUAAUACCCCGCUGUUCUGACGGUACCCAAAGAAUAAGCACCGGCUAACUUCGUG